RNAcentral lists this ribosomal RNA (303 nucleotides) under uncultured marine eukaryote. Its description in RNAcentral is "bacterial SSU rRNA". It matches the Rfam family "Eukaryotic small subunit ribosomal RNA", at positions 619 to 922 of the family's 1831-position model. The record is from RNAcentral.
UUAAAAAGCUCGUAGUUGGAUUUCUGUGGGGACGGAGCGGCCGGCCGCUACUAGCGGUUCGAGCUAGCGCUUUCCCUACAUCCUGCCGCGAACCGCGCUACCAUUAGUUUGGUGGCGCCGGGGAUCGGCUCGUUUACUUUGAGAAAAAUAGAGUGUUCAAAGCAGGCCACACGCCUUGAAUAAGUUAGCAUGGAAUAAUAACUAAGGACUUCGGUUCUAUUUUGUUGGUGUUCGGGACUGAAGUAAUGAUUGAUAGGGACAGUUGGGGCGGUCCGUAUUCCAAAGCGAGAGGUGAAAUUCUUA